UAGGGAAUAUUGGACAAUGGGGGCAACCCUGAUGCAGCGACGCCGCGUGAGCGAUGAAGCCCUUCGGGGCGUAAAGCUCUUUCGACCGGAACGAUAAUGACGGUACCGGGAGAAGAAGCUGCGGCUAACUACGUGCCAGCAGCCGCGGUAAUACGUAGGCAGCAAGCGUUGUUCGGAGUUACUGGGCGUAAAGAGUGCGUAGGCGGUUUUCUAAGUUCGGUGUGAAAUCUCCCGGCUUAACUGGGAGGGUGCGCCGAAGACUGGGAAGCUGGAGCGUGGGAAAGGCAGGCGGAAUUCCUGGUGUAGCGGUGAAAUGCGUAGAUAUCAGGAGGAACACCGGCGGUGUAGACGGCUUGCUAGGCCAUAACUGACGCUGAGGCACGAAAGCGUGGGUAGCAAACA
RNAcentral lists this ribosomal RNA (402 nucleotides) under uncultured bacterium. Its description in RNAcentral is "bacterial SSU rRNA". It matches the Rfam family "Bacterial small subunit ribosomal RNA", at positions 355 to 774 of the family's 1533-position model. The record is from RNAcentral.